GCGCACCAGUCGCGAAUCCUUCGCAAUGCAGGAAACUGCGACGAGGGAACUCCAAGUGCCUACGCUCAGCGUAGGCUGUUCUCAAGCCUAGAAAGCUUGAGGAGUAAGGGGCUGGGUAAGACGGGUGCCAUCUGUGGUAGCAGUCAAUAGAUUCGAUUUUGUUACUGCAAGGCAUAAGCCGCCGCGGUAAUACCCGCAGCCCAAGUGGUGGCCGCUUUUAUUGGGCCUAAAGCGUCCGUAGCCGGCCCGGUAAUGCCUGGGUAAAUCGUGGACCCCAACUUCACGAAUUCCGGUAGACUGCCGAGC
RNAcentral lists this ribosomal RNA (306 nucleotides) under uncultured microorganism. RNAcentral describes it as "bacterial SSU rRNA". It matches the Rfam family "Archaeal small subunit ribosomal RNA", at positions 330 to 592 of the family's 1478-position model. The record is from RNAcentral.